GCGGCGAGUGAAGCGGCAAAAGCUCAAAUUUGAAAUCUGGCUCUUUCAGAGUCCGAGUUGUAAUUUGAAGAAGGUAUCUUUGGGUCUGGCUCUUGUCUAUGUUUCUUGGAACAGAACGUCACAGAGGGUGAGAAUCCCGUGCGAUGAGAUGAUCCAGGCCUAUGUAAAGUUCCUUCGAAGAGUCGAGUUGUUUGGGAAUGCAGCUCUAAGUGGGUGGUAAAUUCCAUCUAAAGCUAAAUAUUGGCGAGAGACCGAUAGCGAACAAGUACAGUGAUGGAAAGAUGAAAAGAACUUUGAAAAGAGAGUGAAAAAGUACGUGAAAUUGUUGAAAGGGAAGGGCUUGAGAUCAGACUUGGUAUUUUGUAUGUUACUUCUUCGGGGGUGGCCUCUACAGUUUAUCGGGCCAGCAUCAGUUUGGGCGGUAGGAGAAUUGCGUUGGAAUGUGGCACGGCUUUGGUUGUGUGUUAUAGCCUUCGUCGAUACUGCCAGCCUAGACUGAGGACUGCGGUUUAUACCUAGGAUGUUGGCAUAAUGAUCUUAAGUCGCCCGUCUUGAAACACGGACCC
This 566-nucleotide ribosomal RNA is filed under the name Candida tropicalis. Its description in RNAcentral is "eukaryotic LSU rRNA". It matches the Rfam family "Eukaryotic large subunit ribosomal RNA", at positions 86 to 668 of the family's 3401-position model. The record is from RNAcentral. Lineage: Eukaryota; Fungi; Ascomycota; Pichiomycetes; Serinales; Debaryomycetaceae.